GGAAAACGUGUUCUCAAAAGCUCAGUGAUGUUGAUCCUGGGAAUAAAAGUAUUAAUGUUUAGUAAUAUUCUUUCCAUUUAGAUCUACAGAGUUGGAUUCUAACUGGUCGUGGUUUCAGUUGCGAUGCAUGCAAGUUGGAGGAAACGCCAAUGCAUCUUCCUUUUUUCAUCAACAUGGGUGUGCCACCAAUGACACCAAUGCCAAGUACAACAGUCGCGCUGCUCAGCUCUAUAGGGAGAAAAUCAGAUCACUCGCUUCCCAAGCAACACGGAAGCACGGCACUGACCUGUGGCUUGAGAGUUGUGUGGUUCCACCUUCGUCCCCUCCACCAAAGGAGGAAGAUUUUUUUGCCUCUCAUGUUUCUCCUGAGGCGAGUGACGCAGCGUGGGCAUCAGCAAUAGCAGAGCCAGCUUCCUUGACAUCAAGGCCUGCGGAAACCACUUCAGAAAAUAACGAAGGUGGACAAGAACAAGGACCAAGUGUGGAAGGUCUUAAUGUACCAACAAAGGCUACUUUAGAGGUUUCCUCUAUCAUAAAAAAGAAACCAAAUCAAGCUAAAAAAGGCGUGAGUAUUCUGUACUUUAUAUAUAAAAUACCUGGUAGUUAAAGUUUAAAACUAAAAAGCCACUUUGUCAUUUUAAUUUUAUUCUUUUGAACCAUCUUAUGAUAAAUGUGGCUUUGAUAUAAGGAGUGUAUGUUUUGUUCAGAGAGAUUAAUGUUAUACUUAGCAAAUUUUUUUUAGAAUGAUUAUUUAACUUUUUUUCUAUGACAAAAUUCUGAAAAAAAUUAACAAAGGUCCCCUGGGGAUUUCUCUCCUGCUCGUGUGAUUCAAAAAGCAAUGAUGUCUCGUGAGGCUUAGAGGGUAGUCCUCUGGUGAGCUUUCAGAUACAGUGAUGUGUUGCAGAGCACUAGCUCUGGAGGCAGGUGCAGAGUUUGAAUCCUGGCCUUGCCAUUUAUUGGCUGUGUGAUCCUGGUCAUGUUGCUUAACUUCUAUGAGCUUUAUUUUCCUCAGCCCUCUGUAUCCAGGGGUUUUGCAUUCAUGGAUUUAACCAACUGCAGAUCAGAAAUAUUUGGGGGUGAGGGGGAACAAUAGACCAAGUGUAGUGACUCACACCUGUAAUCCCAGCACUUUGGGAGGCCGAGGCAGGUGGAUCACGUGAGCUC
RNAcentral lists this long non-coding RNA (1164 nucleotides) under Saimiri boliviensis boliviensis (Bolivian squirrel monkey). Its description in RNAcentral is "lncRNA (ENSSBOG00000036472.1)". The record is from RNAcentral. Lineage: Eukaryota; Metazoa; Chordata; Mammalia; Primates; Cebidae.